UACUGGCAGGAUCAACCAGGUAGCAUCUUUUUGCUGCCGGAACCGCAUGAUUGAGAGGACAAUUAUUAUCCUCCCAUCAACACAGGGCACGUCAGGCUUUCGUAAGGGACAAUUGAUUCGGGCAAAAAGGGACAUAGUCCCCAACCGACGUUUGCUUCUACAUACAAGACUUCGAGAACCCCCUGGGCAUCCAAUGAAUGCUAGCUUAAUAAGCAAAAGCAAGAGUGGAUGUCCAUGGGAUCUUAAUGGUCUACGUCGCACAAAACCUUUUAGCACGAGAUAGAGUAUGGAUCAUGGGACUAGAGAAUUCCGUCAAAAAUAGGUAUGCUGCACAGGGGGCCAAGGCAGUCCAAGGUAAAAGAUUUAGCACUCGAACAGAAUUGAACAGGUGUGAACCAGCGAUUGUCGCUGCCAAGGCAGGGAACCAACCAACCGGAACAU
Molecule: unclassified non-coding RNA, 441 nt
Filed under: Pastinaca clausii
Lineage: Eukaryota; Viridiplantae; Streptophyta; Magnoliopsida; Apiales; Apiaceae
Description: partial external transcribed spacer
Source: RNAcentral